CGGCAAAGUUCGAACCACUUCAUGAACCAGUCACGUGGUACAGCCGGGCAGCGAGGCUUCGGACGUCAUCAUUUUCAGCUCCUCCCAUAAAUGAAGCAAGCCUCGAUACGCGCUUCGCGGAAACGCCCCCUCCAUUACUCGACACACGCUCCGAAGCCUCGAUACAGAACGUCCCAUCACUACUGGACAUGCUUAUUUUGUGGACUGUGUGGAAGCAGAAUAUGUGAGGAUUACUACUGCAUGUUCCAAGGCUUUUUACACAACUUGACCAAUACACUGACCAGCUCAUAAAAGUCUUCAAGAAAAAAGGAGGCGUUGCAGGGAAGAAAAUUAGACAAACUUUGGCCCCAGCCACACAGAAGGAAAGUAUUGAAAAGGGGAGGGAGUGUGUCCUCAGGGCACUACCUUUUUACCUGAAUGAAGACCCAAGCAUCCUCUUCAAAGAAUAAUUGCUACAGCUGUUCAGAGGGAGCUGGAACAAAUUACCCUUGCUAUCUUUACCAUCGAAAGAGCUGAUGCCAGCACUCCUCCAGCCGAUGUGGGUAUAACCAUCUAGUGUGUCCUGCAUGACCUGGAAGACCUGGCCUCUGCAUGUGCACUCUUAAUGGGUGGGAUAUAUGCACUGAAUCUCAGUUAACCUCAAGACUGAAAGCUUUCUUUGAAGUACUUCAGAAGCUCUUCCUUCAUCUGUAUGUCAGCAUACUCUUGACCAAGGUACAAUUGCUCAAGAAUACACUGAAUGAAUAAGCCAACCUUUAAUUUGGAUGAUGAAUGUUCUGUCAGAUGGACAGAAGUUUUUCGGAGGCUGAAUGGGAAUAAAAUGGUAAUUUGUAAAUGACAGAUAACGGGAAAAUUACAUUUAAGAGAAAUUUAGAACAUUUUGAAAAGUUUGUAAACUACUACAAUUUGAGAGAUUUUACUGUUGUGGGGGGCUAGUAAGAGACAAUCAAAAGUAUUGAGAUUUAAAGGAUUUAAUUGAGAGAUGAUACUGCACCAGAAAUGUUGAAGGGUGGUGUGUAUAUUAGCGUUCAAGGCAUAUUGUUAUGAGGUGGAAAUAUGUUCAUAUUCAGUUUGUGUUACAUUGUGUGCAUUGUAAAGGUAAUUGCAAUACAUACUAAAAAUAAGGGUAAGUUAGGAGGUUGAUCUGAUAUCCUCGUGUUGGUGUUGUUCCCAGAUCAUCAUACUAAAUGUUGUUCCAGGAUCAACAUUGCAAGUGACCAAUCAGAAUGUUGUGACGUCAUACUUUUGCGACUUCGGGAAAAACCGGCGUAAAACAAAAAACUGUACUUAAGCUGCGUGAAACCGCCUCUGCCCGCCGAUCAACUGACCCUAACCCUAACCCUAACCCUUUAAUAAACAGUAAGCAGAAUUGAUAUUGUCCUUGCACGAAUGGCUUGGCGCGCAAAAGAAUAACGUCACAACAAUGUGACAACAUUUUCAUGAUGGUCUGGGAACAACACCAACACGAGGAUAUCAGAUCAUCCAAGUUGGGAAUGCAGGAUGAAUGUAUAUUUUGUGGACUUUUAAAGACGAACAAUUGUUUCCAUGUUAAAAUGUUUACAUCUGAAGUUUUUUGCCCAAACACUAGUAAAAUAAAUGUUGACAGUGGCAAGUGUUAAAUGGUUACUGCUGUGCUGUUGCAAAAAAACUGAACGCUGACAAGCUUACAUAAAUUUUUUUUAAAUUGUGGCUGUUGAGGUGGACACUUCACUUUGCAUUGUUAAAGGAAAGCACUUCAUUGGCAUUGUGUUACUGGACUGACCCUAAGCAAUCAUUGCAAAUAGCAACUUUGCUAUCCAUUUUAGACACUAAAAGAAAAAAACACUCACAGACCUUACUAGCAUCACAUGUGCAUAACUCAAGUGUCAUCUUAUCAAUGUGUUAUGUGAUCUUCAAUGCGUUUUUUUUUUCUCUCUUCUAUUUCUGGUAGAUACAGACAUUUAAUUUAAAGUCUUGAUGUUGCAUCUGUCUACAUACUGUUAAUUACUAACCCUAAUGAGCUGUUGUGUUUUAUUUUGGACUGGGUUUACACAAAUGCUCACUGAAUGUGUUGGCAAUAAAAGAAAUUUUAAAAAAUA
This is a long non-coding RNA of Astatotilapia calliptera (eastern happy), 2078 nucleotides long. NCBI's taxonomy places the organism in Eukaryota, Metazoa, Chordata, Actinopteri, Cichliformes, Cichlidae. The record is from Ensembl.